UACGAAGGGGGCUAGCGUUGCUCGGAAUUACUGGGCGUAAAGCGCACGUAGGCGGCUUUGUAAGUUAGAGGUGAAAGCCUGGGGCUCAACUCCAGAACUGCCUUUAAGACUGCAUCGCUUGAAUCAUGGAGAGGCGGGUGGAAUUCCGAGUGUAGAGGUGAAAUUCGUAGAUAUUCGGAAGAACACCAGUGGCGAAGGCGGCCCGCUGGACAUGUAUUGACGCUGAGGUGCGAAAGCGUGGGGAGCAAACAGG
This 253-nucleotide ribosomal RNA is filed under the name uncultured bacterium. RNAcentral's name for it is "partial 16S ribosomal RNA". It matches the Rfam family "Bacterial small subunit ribosomal RNA", at positions 524 to 776 of the family's 1533-position model. The record is from RNAcentral.